Molecule: ribosomal RNA, 194 nt
Filed under: uncultured Gram-positive bacterium
Lineage: Bacteria
Description: partial 16S ribosomal RNA
Rfam family: Bacterial small subunit ribosomal RNA
Source: RNAcentral
GGGGCACGGGGGGCCUACGGGAGGCAGCAGUAGGGAAUCUUCGGCAAUGGACGAAAGUCUGACCGAGCAACGCCGCGUGAGUGAAGAAAGGUUUUCGGAUCGUAAAACUCUGUUGUUAGAGAAGAACAAGGAUGAGAGUAAAAUGUUCAUGCCUUGACGGUAUCUAACCAGAAAGCCACGGCUAACUAANAAGU